RNAcentral lists this ribosomal RNA (454 nucleotides) under uncultured bacterium. RNAcentral describes it as "SSU rRNA". It matches the Rfam family "Bacterial small subunit ribosomal RNA", at positions 26 to 518 of the family's 1533-position model. The record is from RNAcentral.
AGAACGAACGCCGGCGGCAUGCCUAACACAUGCAAGUCGAACGUGAUCCAGGCUUCGGCCUGGUGAAAGUGGCAGACGGGUGAGUAACGCGUGGGAACCUGCCCUGUGGUAGGGAAUAACCGUGGGAAACUGCGGCUAAUACCCUAUGAGUCCUUCGGGAGAAAGAUUUAUCGCCAUAGGAGGGGCCCGCGUCGGAUUAGGUAGUUGGUGGGGUAACGGCCUACCAAGCCUUCGAUCCGUAGCUGGUCUGAGAGGAUGAUCAGCCACACUGGGACUGAGAUACGGCCCAGACUCCUACGGGAGGCAGCAGUGGGGAAUAUUGGACAAUGGGGGCAACCCUGAUCCAGCAAUGCCGCGUGGAUGAUGAAGGCCUUCGGGUUGUAAAGUCCUUUCGGCGGGGAAGAUGAUGACGGUACCGCAGAAGAAGCCCGGCUAACUUCGCGCCAGCAGCCGC